GUAAAGUUUUACUUUAGUUUAAAAAUUAGGUUUAAUUUAAUUAUACAUGUAAAUUUUAGUAUGAAAAAAUAAAAAUUUUUAAUAAAUAUUUUUGUAUUGUAAUCACAGUAUGUAAAUUUAUAAAUUAAUGAAAAUUAGAUUUAGGAAAAAUUAAUAGUAUUGACAAAUUUUGUGCCAGCAGUAGCGGUUAUACAAAUAAUACAGUUUAAUUUAAGUGAAAAUUUAUAAUAUUUGUGUAUAUAUAAAAAUUUAAAGAUAUUUUUUUUAGGUGAAAUUUGAAAAGUAUAAAAAAUUUAUUAAUAAAAAAUAUAUUUAAGAAAUUUUUUUUAUAAACUAGGAUUAGAUACCCUAUUAUUAAAAAUGUUAAAAGUUUGGAUUAGUAGUAGAUAUGAACUUGAAAAUUAAAAAAUUUGGCGGUAUUUUAGUCUAUUCAGAGGAAUCUGUUCUAUAAUUGAUAAUCCACGAGUUAUUAUACUUUUUUUAAAAAUUUAUAUAUCGUUGUAGUUAGAAUAUUUUUAGAGAAUUUUGAAUAUUCAAAAUUUAUUUUAUAAAGGAAGACAAAUCAAGACAUAGUGUAUAGAAAAGAAGAAAUGGAUUACAGUAUUAUUAAAGAAGAUUAUAAGUUGAAAAUUUGUAUGAAUAAGGAUUUGAAAGUAAUUUUAUUAAAAUUAAUAAAAUGAUUUUAGCUCUAAAAUAUGUACAUAUCGCCCGUCGCUUUCAUUUUAAAAUGAGAUAAGUCGUAACAAAGUAGGCCUACUGGAAAGUGGGCCUAGAAAGAA
This 779-nucleotide non-coding RNA is filed under the name Chrysomeloidea sp. 6 KM-2017. Lineage: Eukaryota; Metazoa; Arthropoda; Insecta; Coleoptera. The record is from RNAcentral.